UACGGAGGGAGCUAGCGUUGUUCGGAAUUACUGGGCGUAAAGCGUGCGCAGGCGGUUUUGUAAGUCUGUCGUGAAAGCCCCGGGCUCAACCUGGGAAUUGCGAUGGAGACUGCAAGGCUUGAAUCUGGCAGAGGGGGGUAGAAUUCCACGUGUAGCAGGUGAAAUGCGUAGAGAUGUGGAGGAACACCGAUGGCGAAGGCAGCCCCCUGGGUCAAGAUUGACGCUCAUGCACGAAAGCGUGGGGAGCAAACAGG
Molecule: ribosomal RNA, 254 nt
Filed under: uncultured bacterium
Lineage: Bacteria
Description: partial 16S ribosomal RNA
Rfam family: Bacterial small subunit ribosomal RNA
Source: RNAcentral